RNAcentral lists this ribosomal RNA (198 nucleotides) under uncultured bacterium. RNAcentral's name for it is "partial 16S ribosomal RNA". It matches the Rfam family "Bacterial small subunit ribosomal RNA", at positions 335 to 526 of the family's 1533-position model. The record is from RNAcentral.
ACUCUACUGGAGGCAGCGGUGGGGAAUUUUGGACAAUGGGCGAAAGCCUGAUCCAGCCAUGCCGCGUGAGUGAAGAAGGCCUUCGGGUUGUAAAGCUCUUUCGGCUGGGAAGAAAUCGCACAGGCUAAUACUCUGUGUGGAUGACGGUACCAGCACAAGAAGCACCGGCUAACUACGUGCCAGCAGCCGCGGUAAUAC